Lepidothrix coronata (blue-crowned manakin) is the source of this 846-nucleotide long non-coding RNA. RefSeq lists it as uncharacterized. The transcript is spliced from 6 exons. The record is from RefSeq and is a predicted model, not a curated record. NCBI's taxonomy places the organism in Eukaryota, Metazoa, Chordata, Aves, Passeriformes, Pipridae.
CGGGGCCGAGCGGCGGAGUUGGCUGUGAGGGGGCGGUGUGAGGGGGCGGAGAGAGGAGGUGGAGUGAGGGGUUUGUCCAUUUUCAGAGUAGUCGGGAAAUCCCACAGGAAAAACAACACUUCUCGCGUGAGCAAAGCAAACCCCAGGUACGCCUCGUGCCAGCUGACGGUGGUGACUCGUGGGGAGGGACCCCAACAGUGCCCGGAGAGGGUCAGGCUCGUAAAGGAAGCUGCUUAGCUGAGGCAUUUUGAAGGAUUUAGAGAAUUGUCUGGUGGUACUGAGCCCGUGACAGGAGAGUACGAACAUAUCAUCAUUGGGCAGCUUAUUCCUGGAGCCCCAAAGCGGAGCGAGGUCCUGGGAGCUCUUGAGCGAUUUCUCCUGCGGUGUCUCACUGCCCUCUCGUGGCUGAAGGAUGCAUGUGCACGUCACCGCGCUGAGUAUCUCGUCUGCCUCAUGGUGCUGCAUUAAAUUCCCAGUCAGAAUGUUACGGCCGGCAUAAUCUCCUUUAAUUCCUGCCGGCCUGGAAUACUCGGUUAACUUUCCUUUUUUAGCUCCAGUUAUCUGCACAAACCCAGAGGAGCUCCUUGGCCUGAAGAGCUGCCCGACGGAGCGCAUGGAGCCUGGCACCAGCCAGGCUGGAAUGAGUCCCCGAGAGUCCAGCUGCGCUCUGGAGAAGAGAAAUAGAGAGCUGCGGGAGGCCAGAGCAAGUUCUGAGGAGGGAUGAUUGGUCCUGCCUUGGAAGCAAGAGAAUGUCCUGGUGUCUGGGAAUAUUUUGGGCAUAAAACUGGAGGUGAUGGAAUUGCCUCUCUGUUCGUGUGCUGAGCUGCGGCUGCAGGGACUGUCAGG